UGGGGGAUAUUGCACAAUGGAGGGAACUCUGAUGCAGCAACGCCGCGUGCGGGAUGACGGCCUUCGGGUUGUAAACCGCUUUCAGCCAUGACGAAGCUUUUGUGACGGUAGUGGUAGAAGAAGCACCGGCUAACUACGUGCCAGCAGCCGCGGUGAUACGUAGGGUGCGAGCGUUGUCCGGAAUUAUUGGGCGUAAAGAGCUUGUAGGCGGUUUGUCGCGUCGAUAGUGUAAACACGCAGCUUAACUGUGUGCCUGCUGUCGAUACGGGCUGACUAGAGGAGGGUAGGGGAGAAUGGAAUUCCCGGUGGAGCGGUGGAAUGCGCAGAUAUCGGGAGGAACACCAGUGGCGAAGGCGGUUCUCUGGACCUUUCCUGACGCUGAGAAGCGAAAGCGUGGGUAGCAAACAGG
RNAcentral lists this ribosomal RNA (409 nucleotides) under Fusobacteriota bacterium. Its description in RNAcentral is "Fusobacteria bacterium partial 16S ribosomal RNA". It matches the Rfam family "Bacterial small subunit ribosomal RNA", at positions 355 to 776 of the family's 1533-position model. Lineage: Bacteria; Fusobacteriati; Fusobacteriota. The record is from RNAcentral.